RNAcentral lists this long non-coding RNA (216 nucleotides) under Monodelphis domestica (gray short-tailed opossum). Its description in RNAcentral is "lncRNA (ENSMODG00000043443.1)". The record is from RNAcentral. Lineage: Eukaryota; Metazoa; Chordata; Mammalia; Didelphimorphia; Didelphidae.
UAGAGAAGAAACUAAAACUCAAAAGGAUUAAGUGAUUUGUUCACACAAGGACAACUUGAAGUUUCCCUGAAUUGUUCUUGCCUCAUUGAGUGAGAAGAUGAGACCAAAAGGGAGAACCUAGGUGUACUGAACAUUUUUUUAAAAAUCCCAGAAGGUAAGUAGGUAGACUUUGUUUGCAUGGGCUGUGAUUUGUAGGAGGGUUUCAUUUUCUAGAGC